CCUCAGAGGUGGUGUCGGAGAAGGCAAUGGAAACCCACUCUAGUAUUCUUGCCUGGAGAAUCCCAUGGAUGGAGGAGCCUGGUGGGCUGCCGUCUAUGGGGUCGCACAGAGUCGGACACGACUGAAGCGACUUAGCAGCAGCAGCAGCAGAGGUGGUGUAUUUUGCGGAGCCUCCUGGCCUGACUUCCGUUUGUUUACAAGGCAGGUCUCCCAGUGCAGAGGGAAAGGAGGGGAAUUAAAGAGCCGGAUUGAUAGGAUACUGCAGGGCCGCACUGUCUCACAGCCCUUCUUAGAACCCGAAUACUCUCAGCUCAGAACCUCUUUAGACAAUCAGUCACUUCAAGCCUCUUACCAAACAGAUGGGGAAACAGGCUCUGAGGGGAGAAUUUCUGUCUCACGCCUAGGGUUAAGAUUCAAAUCUACUUGGAUCCCCCAGCCUCCAUUAAAGGACUGUUUAGAACAGACACUCUGUGAUUGUCUUCCUCAUCUCUGGAGGGUCUUGCAUAUUUCUGGAGCAUUCCACACUCUUUCUGGAAGAAGAGAAGGCUCCGCUGGGAUGGGGGGAACAGAUUUUCCAGCAUGAUUCUGUACCAGCUGAGUGAGGGACUGUGCUUACCCUUGAGGAACUCCCAACUUAGCAAAACACACACAUGGACAGAAAAAACAGGCUGAGAAAAACACUGUGAGUACCCCCAGAAGGAGACUGCCAACUUUUGUCUGUGAGAUUCAGGAAAAGUCCCAGAGAGAAGGUGCCAUCUGAGCUGACUCUGAAAAGAUGAGCUGGCUUGAAUGAGAGCAAUGAAGAAGGAGCCCUCCCCCUCUGGUUAAGAAGCUUGCCCUGGUUGUGGGAAGAACUAGAGCUGAGCCGCACAGUUUGGUUGGACCGAUCCCGACUCCUUCUCCCGUCCCCACGCUGAGCCAAGCCUGGUCUGCUGCGGAGGACCUUGGUCCCCACAUGCCUCUCUGGGUCCUGGAAACUCAGCACCUUUGCCUCUGCUCUGACCUCCAGCCCUGUGUCUAAGUGCCCCUUGGACUUCCUGCAGACUGGAGUCUUUGUUACCAGCUUUCCACUUAUUCUGGGGCUCCAGCUCUGCCCCACGUCAUGAGGAACCAGGAGGAAGGCUCCCUGAGAGGUUUCUCAGGGCCCAAAGUCCAGAGGAAAACAGGCUAACUCACCUGCUUCUGCCUGGUUCUAUACUUUGGCCCAGAAAGUAACUGCACAAAUGUAGGGUAGAGAAGUAUGACUUAGCAGCAACAUAGAAAACAAAACUUAGGAUUUGAGUUUAUGAUAAGCUGGGGCUUCCCUAGUGGCUCAGACGGUAAAGAAUCUGCCUGCAACACAGGAGACUGGGUUUGAUCCCUGGGUCCGGAAGAUCCCCUGGAGAAGGGAAUGGCAACCCACUCCAGU
Molecule: long non-coding RNA, 1408 nt
Organism: Bos taurus (domestic cattle)
Lineage: Eukaryota; Metazoa; Chordata; Mammalia; Artiodactyla; Bovidae
Source: Ensembl